GGAGCCAUAGCUCAGUGGUAGAGCAUCUGCUUUGUAUGAAAAGUUCACAGGUUCAAUCCCUGGCGUCUCCA
Molecule: non-coding RNA, 71 nt
Organism: Podarcis lilfordi (Lilford's wall lizard)
Lineage: Eukaryota; Metazoa; Chordata; Lepidosauria; Squamata; Lacertidae
Source: the annotation of a GenBank genome assembly